RNAcentral lists this transfer RNA (96 nucleotides) under Haladaptatus sp. T7. RNAcentral describes it as "tRNA-Ala". The record is from RNAcentral. Lineage: Archaea; Methanobacteriati; Methanobacteriota; Halobacteria; Halobacteriales; Haladaptataceae.
UCGUCGUAGGAGAGGAUGUGCGCCGCGUUUCCGGCGUGAGCGCUGGCGAGCGCGGGGUGGUCGCCGGGCGUCUGUUCGACGCGGAUUCGGAGGUCC